GAGUUUGAUCCUGGCUCAGGACGAACGCUGGCGGCGUGCUUAACACAUGCAAGUCGAACGAAGCUUGAUUUAUGAUUUCUUCGGAAUGAAUAAUGAUAUGACUGAGUGGCGGACGGGUGAGUAACGCGUGAGCAACCUACCCUUCGGAGGGGGAUAGCGUCUGGAAACGGACGGUAAUACCGCAUAAAGUGUCUUGACCGCAUGAUCGAGAUACCAAAACUGAGGUGCCGAAGGAUGGGCUCGCGUUGGAUUAGAUAGUUGGUGGGGUAACGGCCUACCAAGGCGACGAUCCAUAGCCGGCCUGAGAGGGUGAACGGCCACAUUGGGACUGAGACACGGCCCAGACUCCUACGGGAGGCAGCAGUGGGGAAUAUUGCACAAUGGGGGAAACCCUGAUGCAGCGACGCCGCGUGAAGGAAGAAGUAUCUCGGUAUGUAAACUUCUAUCAGCAGGGAAGAUAAUGACGGUACCUGACUAAGAAGCCCCGGCUAACUACGUGCCAGCCGCCGCGGUAAUUC
Molecule: ribosomal RNA, 518 nt
Filed under: uncultured bacterium
Lineage: Bacteria
Description: bacterial SSU rRNA
Rfam family: Bacterial small subunit ribosomal RNA
Source: RNAcentral